RNAcentral lists this ribosomal RNA (542 nucleotides) under uncultured bacterium. RNAcentral describes it as "bacterial SSU rRNA". It matches the Rfam family "Bacterial small subunit ribosomal RNA", at positions 1 to 529 of the family's 1533-position model. The record is from RNAcentral.
CAAGAGUUUGAUCCUGGCUCAGAUUGAACGCUGGCGGAACGCUUUACACAUGCAAGUCGAACGGUAACGCGGAGAGAAGCUUGCUUCUCUCCGGCGACGAGUGGCGAACGGGUGAGUAAUACAUCGGAACGUGUCCGCUCGUGGGGGACAACCAGCCGAAAGGUUGGCUAAUACCGCAUGAGUUCUACGGAAGAAAGAGGGGGACCCGCAAGGGCCUCUCGCGAGCGGAGCGGCCGAUGACUGAUUAGCCGGUUGGUGAGGUAACGGCUCACCAAAGCAACGAUCAGUAGCUGGUCUGAGAGGACGACCAGCCACACUGGGACUGAGACACGGCCCAGACUCCUACGGGAGGCAGCAGUGGGGAAUUUUGGACAAUGGGCGCAAGCCUGAUCCAGCUAUUCCGCGUGUGGGAUGAAGGCCCUCGGGUUGUAAACCACUUUUGUAGAGAACGAAAAGACACCUUCGAAUAAAGGGUGUUGCUGACGGUACUCUAAGAAUAAGCACCGGCUAACUACGUGCCAGCAGCCGCGGUAAGAGGCGUA